RNAcentral lists this ribosomal RNA (546 nucleotides) under Meloidogyne incognita (southern root-knot nematode). RNAcentral describes it as "eukaryotic LSU rRNA". It matches the Rfam family "Eukaryotic large subunit ribosomal RNA", at positions 415 to 822 of the family's 3401-position model. Lineage: Eukaryota; Metazoa; Nematoda; Chromadorea; Rhabditida; Meloidogynidae. The record is from RNAcentral.
GGAAACGGAUAGAGUCGGCGUAUCAUUCAAUUAUUCAGUUACAUUAUUUUUAUGUUGUGACCUCUGAGCUCCAGAUUGGGACAGAGGGAAUCAGCAUAAUUUUUUGUGGUGCAUUUACUUGAUUGGUGCUUGGGGAUGUUUGAGGCAGAUUUGUUUCCGUCGUUUUGAGGCCAGCUUGCUGGUACCCAAACGGUGUUAGCAUUUUUUGUCUUGGGCAUUUGAGUAUGGCUCACGUGUAUUUAUUGGACAGAUCUGAGUGUAAGUUACGGUCGCAUGCGACACGUGCUUUUCAAUUAGUUCGGUCCAGUUAAUGCUCUCGUACUCGUUCCCCAUGUAAAAGCCGGUCAUCUAUCCGACCCGUCUUGAAACACGGACCAAGGAGUUUAUCGUGUGCGCAAGUUUUUGGGUGUUAAAAACUUAAAAGCGAAAUGAAAGUAAAUGACUCUUUAGAGUCUGAUGUGCGAUCUUGUAAAAAAGUGUAGCAUGGCCCCAUUCUAACUGUUUACAGUAGGGUGGCGGAAGAGCGUACGCGGUGAGACCCGAAAG